GACAGAGGUGCCGAGCGUUAGGCGGAAUCACUGGGCGUAAAGGGUGCGUAGGCGGGUUUUUAAGUCAGGGGUGAAAUCCUGGAGCUCAACUCCAGAACUGCCUUUGAUACUGAAGAUCUUGAGUUCGGGAGAGGUGAGUGGAACUGCGAGUGUAGAGGUGAAAUUCGUAGAUAUUCGCAAGAACACCAGUGGCGAAGGCGGCUCACUGGCCCGAUACUGACGCUGAGGCACGAAAGCGUGGGGAGCAAACAGG
RNAcentral lists this ribosomal RNA (253 nucleotides) under uncultured bacterium. Its description in RNAcentral is "partial 16S ribosomal RNA". It matches the Rfam family "Bacterial small subunit ribosomal RNA", at positions 524 to 776 of the family's 1533-position model. The record is from RNAcentral.